This 460-nucleotide ribosomal RNA is filed under the name uncultured bacterium. Its description in RNAcentral is "partial 16S ribosomal RNA". It matches the Rfam family "Bacterial small subunit ribosomal RNA", at positions 338 to 795 of the family's 1533-position model. The record is from RNAcentral.
CCUACGGGUGACAGCAGUGAGGAAUAUUGGUCAAUGGGCGCUAGCCUGAACCAGCCAAGUAGCGUGAAGGAUGACUGCCCUAUGGGUUGUAAACUUCUUUUAUAUGGGAAUAAAGUGCAGUAUGUAUACUGCUUUGCAUGUACCUUAUGAAUAAGGAUCGGCUAACUCCGUGCCAGCAGCCGCGGUAAUACGGAGGAUCCGAGCGUUAUCCGGAUUUAUUGGGUUUAAAGGGAGCGUAGAUGGGUUGUUAAGUCAGUUGUGAAAGUUUGCGGCUCAACCGUAAAAUUGCAAUUGAUACUGGCAGCCUUGAGUACAGUUGAGGUAGGCGGAAUUCGUGGUGUAGCGGUGAAAUGCUUAGAUAUCACGAAGAACUCCGAUUGCGAAGGCAGCCUACUAAACUGCCACUGACAUUGAUGCUCGAAAGUGUGGGUAUCAAACAGGAUUAGAUACCCGAGUAGUC